AGGAGCAGAAAGCAUUGAUUUUUAUUUGAUCUAAUUUCACCGGUUUCUCAUUCGGAAUGUUAAGCCUUAAGUGUUGUUGUGAAUUUCAUUCCAAGAAGGGGAGGGAUUCAAUUGUUGAUUUCGAUGUGUCAAAUCGAUAAAUGCAAAACGCUGUGAAAUACUUUCUCUCCAAUACUAAGCAUGGAUAUUAUUUUAACUGGUUUGGAAACACAACUCAGCCGCGCAGAUUUUUCCUUUCAAGCCAAGCGUGUGUUCGAACAGAGAGACAGAAAGGGGGAGAGUGUGUGACUGUGUGACUGUGUGUCUGUGUGUGUGUGUGUGUGUGUGUGUGUGAGUGCGUGCACAUCAUGUUUACACGUGUGCACCUGAGUGUGCAUGCUUUAUGCAUGUGGAGAGCUGACACCAAAUCAGUUCUUCAUCAAAGAGGAGGAUUAUUCUCUGCUCUGUUUCAUCAGCGAUCAGCUCGCUGGGGACCCGGAGCAGCCAGCAGGGUACUGAGCGUGCCUGUAUGCGGCGGCAGCCUCCGCCGCGCACCCCCAGAACACUCAAAAUGGAGGCUGCAUUAGCCAGCCCUGCCCAAACCCGGCCCUGGGGACACACUGUGUGCGAUGGCUUUCAUUCCAAUCGUUAUUCCAGCCUCUGAAUUGUAACAAGCUGCUAAUGGAAUUUUAAUUUGACACUUUUAAUGCCAAUUGGCCAUAUUAAAGCCAUAUUAUGUCAGAAAUGGCUGAGCACACUACGAAGAAUAAAUAUUUCAUAUGCACAUCCCAAGACAUUUAAUCAGUCAGAACAGCUAUUGCUUUCAGUCUAUGUAAUCCGCUGAACGAGAAACGAUUCAGAUAGAAAUAGGUUCCAUUUUAAUUGAUUCAAUUAUAGACUGGCAGGUGAAAUCAUUGGGUCCUAAUUGAAAGAGUGAACACUUGUGGAAAAUGAAGAGUUCAAAGACAAAGCAAACGGCAACUAGGCAACUAGCCAUUGUUGAAAAUUUAUCAUACAACUUACACGUUUCCAGCAACCUUAAAUGAUCAAGAUAUUGAAAAACCAGCAUACAAACCCUGUUCCCAGGACCAAGAUUGGAACCCAUGGCAUGACACCAUGGAAAAACGCUAUUGCUUAGCAAUAAGGGGUGUGUCGCAGUGAAGGGGGCGGAGUCCGCACUUACAUGUACUCCCGGUGGGCGGAGUGCACGGCGGCCGCGUUGCUAUAGCGCCAUAGUACGAUGAUGGAGGACAGCACGUCCAAGGUGGCAUCAAACUGGAAGGCAAACCGGCAGAAAAAGACAUCAAACAGGAUUUUUUAAUUGCCCUCAAUAGGCAAGGAAUAGCAGUCUCGCUGAACUUUUU
Molecule: long non-coding RNA, 1343 nt
Organism: Anguilla rostrata (American eel)
Lineage: Eukaryota; Metazoa; Chordata; Actinopteri; Anguilliformes; Anguillidae
Exons: 3
Source: RefSeq, a predicted model, not a curated record